RNAcentral lists this ribosomal RNA (366 nucleotides) under uncultured Glomeromycotina. RNAcentral's name for it is "LSU rRNA". Lineage: Eukaryota; Fungi; Glomeromycota. The record is from RNAcentral.
UUGAAAGGGAAACGAUUGAAGUCAGUCGUACCGACGAGAAAUCAGCUUUUCGAAUGUGCAUUUGUGGGCGUAUGAGAUCUUCAUUGGUUGCAAUAUGUAUAUUUCUUUGGUGUACUUUUUCGUAUGGUAGGUCAAUGUCGGUUUUGAUCGCCAUAAAAUGAUCGGAGGAAUGUAGCUUCGGCUUCGGUUGAAGUGUCAUAGCCUUUGGUAGAUGUGGUGAUUAAGACCGAGGAUUGCAACGAAUACCUUUUAGGCUAUCCGUCUGACCUCUGAAAGUUACUUAGGUGCCGAAAGCUUACUUACGGUCAUUUAAGUUGACGGUCAAUAGGUUAGAACGUGAUUACAUUCGUUAAGGAUGUUGACGUA